GCCCGUCUAGCUCAGUUGGUAGAGCCCAAGGCUUGUGGGUUCGAGUCCCACGGUGGGCG
This 59-nucleotide transfer RNA is filed under the name Macleaya cordata. It matches the Rfam family "tRNA". Rfam says of the family: Transfer RNA (tRNA) molecules are approximately 80 nucleotides in length. Lineage: Eukaryota; Viridiplantae; Streptophyta; Magnoliopsida; Ranunculales; Papaveraceae. The record is from Rfam by way of RNAcentral.